This 254-nucleotide ribosomal RNA is filed under the name uncultured bacterium. Its description in RNAcentral is "partial 16S ribosomal RNA". It matches the Rfam family "Bacterial small subunit ribosomal RNA", at positions 524 to 776 of the family's 1533-position model. The record is from RNAcentral.
CACGUAGGCACCAAGCGUUGUCCGGAUUUAUUGGGCGUAAAGAGCUCGUAGGCGGUUCAGUAAGUCAGGUGUGAAAUCUUUGGGCUUAACCCAAAGCGUGCACUUGAUACUGCUGUGACUUGAGUUCGGUAGGGGAGUGGGGAAUUCCUAGUGUAGAGGUGAAAUUCGUAGAUAUUGGGAAGAACACCGGUGGCGAAGGUGGCUCUCUGGACCGUAACUGACGCUGAGGCGCGAAAGCGUGGGGAGCAAACAGG